AACGGUAAAAUGUGAGCAGAGAGCGUGAGCUGUGAGUUAGUUAUUAUUCUUUAAGGUCUUGGCACAGAUACUGAAGGCUGGCAUACAUCAGUCAUUAUGUAUCCACUCCAAACGAACAUCCACAUCAGUAACACAAGGCAGUUAUGGUUGAAACCAGUAUGUCAGUAGGUAUCAAUGCUUCCGUGUUGACCACUGAAUGUUCUUAGU
Nanorana parkeri is the source of this 207-nucleotide long non-coding RNA. RefSeq lists it as uncharacterized. The transcript is spliced from 3 exons. Lineage: Eukaryota; Metazoa; Chordata; Amphibia; Anura; Dicroglossidae. The record is from RefSeq and is a predicted model, not a curated record.